Molecule: ribosomal RNA, 482 nt
Filed under: uncultured bacterium
Lineage: Bacteria
Description: partial 16S ribosomal RNA
Rfam family: Bacterial small subunit ribosomal RNA
Source: RNAcentral
AUUGAACGCUGGCGGCAUGCUUUACACAUGCAAGUCGAACGGUAACAGCACUUCGGUGGCUGACGAGUGGCGAACGGGUGAGUAAUACAUCGGGACGUGCCUAGUAGUGGGGGAUAACUACUCGAAAGAGUAGCUAAUACCGCAUGAGAUCUAAGGAUGAAAGCAGGGGACCUUCGGGCCUUGCGCUACUAGAGCGGCUGAUGGCAGAUUAGGUAGUUGGUGGGAUAAAAGCUUACCAAGCCGACGAUCUGUAGCUGGUCUGAGAGGACGACCAGCCACACUGGGACUGAGACACGGCCCAGACUCCUACGGGAGGCAGCAGUGGGGAAUUUUGGACAAUGGGCGCAAGCCUGAUCCAGCAAUGCCGCGUGCAGGAUGAAGGCCUUCGGGUUGUAAACUGCUUUUGUACGGAACGAAAAGCCCUCUUCUAAUACAGGAGGGUCAUGACGGUACCGUAAGAAUAAGCACCGGCUAACUACGUG